AUGCCUGCAAUGGGAGAAGGAGAAUUUAGCCAAAGGGACCAACAAGAAGGUAGAGAUAAGGAAGACGCUCCACUGAUCCAUGUAGUUUUCUUUCUGCGUGUUUGCUCUGGAAAUGGUGAAGGAGUUGAUGUUGAAGGAGAUGCUCUGCUCAGUAAAGCUCCAGGAGCACCAGCUAAGGACCUGGCUCAUUGUGAACUUCCCUUGAUUCUAAAAUCAUCAGACACAUAGAACACUUUUACAGACAAAUGAAGUGGAGAAGCAAACUCUGAGUGCUUUUCAGUCCAGGUACCUUGGAGGAGGAAUAUCUGGCACCAAAUUCCUAUAGAUCAGAAGGUGUUUACUGACAGUGGACUGUUUUGCGGAAGAAGUGGUUUUUUGGAAUAUUUGUAAGUUCUGCAUGUAUAUUUGAAUAGCAUGGUUGUUACUUAUUUGUAAACUCUCUUUAGGUUUAUUAUAAAUUGUGAUGUGGUUAGACAUUCUGUCAGAAAUAUUCCCUUAUUAAAUGUAUCAAACUUCAAUGUACAUAGGAUUCAAAGAGUUCAAGUAGGUCAUGCAUUUUUUAGGAUAGAUAAUAUUUACUUUUUUUAAAGAAUCCUUCUACAGAAUUUUGAGAUUAUUUCCCUUGCAAAUUGAUACUCAUGAGGAAAUGCGGCUUUGUCUUCAUUAUCAAAGGUACUAUCGACAGGGUUUAGAAACAAAAGCACAUAUAAUGACUAAAUCAAGUUUGAGCAAAUUGCCAGAGAGACAGGAUUGAGUCUAUUCUGUGGAUUUUAAUAUUGCACCUAUUCUGUGGAAAAUGAGUGAUUCCAUUUUCCAUAGCCAUUUCUCUGACAUUUUUGGCUCAAUCAACAUUAAUUUAAAUAAGACAAAAAAUUAAAAUUAUAAAUGGCUAUAUUCCCAGUGUAUUUUUUUCCAUUUACUAUAAAGCUAUUUUUAUAACUUUUUCACUGAAGUAAUUGUUCUUCAGUUCUUUUAGUAUCAUAUUCCAGAUGGAAAUAUUUUUUAUAUAUAAUUUCUUAUUUAUAGAACAAUUAAGUUAAUAAGUUAUUAUGUUAUUCUUUCAGAGUGAUUCUAAGGACACAAAGGACUUGAGAGGUGAGCUCAGAGGACAGAGCAAGUUAAACUGUAGUCAUUAGUAUUUCAUCUAUACUAUGCUGUUUUGCUUCCAAUAACCCUAAAUGUGCAAGUUUGCAAAUUGAAGUUUUCUUUACAUGUAUGUUGUACCAAA
RNAcentral lists this long non-coding RNA (1228 nucleotides) under Calidris pygmaea (Spoon-billed sandpiper). RNAcentral describes it as "lncRNA (ENSCPGG00000008155.1)". Lineage: Eukaryota; Metazoa; Chordata; Aves; Charadriiformes; Scolopacidae. The record is from RNAcentral.